UGCGCAUCUAAUGUGUCAUACAGACCGACAGACAACAGCAUACAAACUUUUUAGCUAUGUGCAAUCUGUGGCUUCUGCGUAAAACACUUCGUUAUGCUGUCGCCACUUCUCAACAGUCUUCUAACCAUACAAACCCUCUGUACCACAUUUAUUGGUGCAACAACUAUUAGAGCAACAAAAGGUCAUCCUGUCUAUCUCCCCUGUCCCACAAACAUUCAACCUGAUGAGGUGGUCCUUUUUAAAUGGACACAGUUUGGAGUUCCUGGAAUUUCUUGCGAAUAUACAAUUAAUAAAAACUACACUGAAAACCAAAAAUGUAAACCAGAAUUCAACAUCAGGGGACAACCUCCCAGACUGUAUGUUGAAAACCCAGGGAGUAGCGAUUCUGGUCUUUACAUUUGUUUCACAACAAGAAUAAUCCCACCACCCACCAUCGAGUUAAAUUACACAGUUGAUCUUCAAGUUACUGGCCCUCCAAAUAUAGUCCUAAAGAAGCAGAAGAGAAAUACUACCUGCGUUGAACUGCUUUGUAGUACAGAGUACCUUGACCCUGGGGAGGUCAAAUUUACAUGGAACCGAACACGUCAGGGAUUACCAGAGACACUGUUGACCACAAAAAGCCUCUUCUAUAUGAACAGCUCUCUGCCACUGUGUCAAUCCGACUGGAGAGAGGGCGACAUAUUCACCUGCAUUGUCAACCGCUUAGUCAAUGACACCAACCUGAGCGAGGAAAUCAGAAUAGACUGCAGUGAAAUAGAAACCUGCCGUUGGAACCCCACUCCUUUGGUCAUCAUCUGUGUGAGCUCACUCAUUGGGGUUGCAGCCGUCAUAGCAGUAACCCUAACUAUUUAUAAAUGUUGCCAGAGGAAGAAGGACCAAGGGGAUUCUGUCUCAUACAAUAACAAGGUGUACGAAAACUUCAGUUUCAGCACAAGAAUACGUGGUGAACAGAAGCCAUCUGGUUCUAUGACGGACCAAUGCAUUUAUGAGAACUGACUGACCAACUUUAAUAGUUUAUUAAUAAUUUACUUUUUUCAAUGCAGAUAUGAAAAAAGUAUAUAUUUUAUAUGGUAUAUAUUUGUAUUUAUAUUUUUGUAUGGUAUAUCUUCGUGUUUCCAUAAAAGGAAUCUGUGAGAGGGUAAUUAAGUUUAAAUGCUAAUAUCCGAGCUGAAGUGUCUUGUUUAUGAAAAUUGGAAACAUUUUACAGGGAUUUUACAUGUGUCAGUAAAUAAUUAUUACAGAGCUUCUAAACCACGGUCAAACAUAUAAUUCAUUUGAAAAAUCCUGUUUCUGUACUGUGUUCAGAAUCCAAUAUAUUUUAACAGUAUUGUUUAGAGUGACAGUAUUAAAAUCUGUCCCUCGAUGGACGUUCCACUCCAAUUGUCCAUUGCAACCCCUUAAUAAAGGACUUCUGAUCUACCACAUCAUUAAUUGUACCCACCUGGUGUCCCAGCGCUAAAUAUCUCCCUGCUUAGGGGUUUACAAUUAAUUAAUGAGUGGAAUUUCAAUACCAAUUAAUUGGCUUAGAGUAUUUCUUCUUAAUAAUGGGGUUGAAGUUUAAAUAAUGUAUUCUUACAUACAAUUAUUCCAAGAUAUGACACCAUGUCUUUAAUUGGGAUUCCAUACUGUAGGCCCUAGCUUUGUAUUAACUCUUUCGCCUCCACAUCCCAAGUGGCAGAAGACAAACCGUUUAAACCCUUACUUGUUUCUUGGGAUUGAAUAUCUUUCUCAUACAUGUCUGCAUGUCUGUAGUAGUUUCAAAUUUAACACAUAAUACUAUAUAGUUGUUAUAUCUGGAUAUCUUACUUCUGGACUGGUCUGUGAAUUGGUCAAUUAUUUAUUUGGAAUAUCCUUCUCUUGUUUCUAUUUCAUUCCUAGAGAUAUGGGGCAUGGCCAGUUGGUCAUAAUAUUAACCUCCCUCUCUCUGUUCAUGUCCAGAAAAAGGCUUGGUUAAUGUUUGUAAUAUGUAAUUUAAGUUGUAUGCAUCCAUAGUAAAUAUAUUUUCCAUGAUUUCAUUGUCAUUGUCAUUCUUGGUAUGAUUAAUAUGGCAUGCAGAACUUUGGGUGACAGUGAUUCAUUAACACCGUAUAUUACUGCAUACUUUAUUUGUUGAAUUUACUAUAAUGUCUUUG
This is a long non-coding RNA of Esox lucius (northern pike), 2132 nucleotides long. The record is from Ensembl. NCBI's taxonomy places the organism in Eukaryota, Metazoa, Chordata, Actinopteri, Esociformes, Esocidae.